AGUAACACGUAUCCAGCCUACCUCAUACUCGGGGAUAGCCUUUCGAAAGAAAGAUUAAUAUCCGAUAGCAUAUAUUUCCCGCAUGGGUUUUAUAUUAAAGAAAUUCGGUAUGAGAUGGGGAUGCGUUCCAUUAGUUUGUUGGGGGGGUAACGGCCCACCAAGACUACGAUGGAUAGGGGUUCUGAGAGGAAGGUCCCCCACAUUGGAACUGAGACACGGUCCAAACUCCUACGGGAGGCAGCAGUGAGGAAUAUUGGUCAAUGGACGCGAGUCUGAACCAGCCAAGUAGCGUGAAGGAUGACUGCCCUAUGGGUUGUAAACUUCUUUUAUAUGGGAAUAAAGUGGUCCACGUGUGGACUUUUGUAUGUACCAUAUGAAUAAGGAUCGGCUAACUCCGUGCCAGCAGCCGCGGUAAUACGGAGGAUCCGAGCGUUAUCCGGAUUUAUUGGGUUUAAAGGGAGCGUAGGCGGAUUGUUAAGUCAGUUGUGAAAGUUUGCGGCUCAACCGUAAAAUUGCAGUUGAUACUGGCAGUCUUGAGUGCAGUAGAGGUGGGCGGAAUUCGUGGUGUAGCGGUGAAAUGCUUAGAUAUCACGAAGAACUCCGAUUGCGAAGGCAGCUCACUGG
Molecule: ribosomal RNA, 624 nt
Filed under: uncultured bacterium
Lineage: Bacteria
Description: bacterial SSU rRNA
Rfam family: Bacterial small subunit ribosomal RNA
Source: RNAcentral